GGGGACAUAGCUCAGCUGGUAGAGCACCACGCUGGCAGCGUGGUGGUCAGGGGUUCGAGUCCCCUUGUCUCCACCA
Molecule: transfer RNA, 76 nt
Filed under: Nautilia profundicola AmH
Lineage: Bacteria; Pseudomonadati; Campylobacterota; Epsilonproteobacteria; Nautiliales; Nautiliaceae
Description: tRNA-Ala (GGC) (tRNA-Ala-GGC-1-1)
Rfam family: tRNA
About the family: Transfer RNA (tRNA) molecules are approximately 80 nucleotides in length. Their secondary structure includes four short double-helical elements and three loops (D, anti-codon, and T loops).
Source: RNAcentral